AAUGAUUUCCACUACUCGCUUCACCGGUCUACUACUACUAAACGCAACUCAUCUGCGCGGUAGACUGGCGGGCGACAAUCAACAUUAAGCCUCUUCAGUAAGAUAAGAACCCGCGCCAUUGCGCGGGUUUUUUU
Molecule: small RNA, 134 nt
Filed under: uncultured Superficieibacter sp.
Lineage: Bacteria; Pseudomonadati; Pseudomonadota; Gammaproteobacteria; Enterobacterales; Enterobacteriaceae
Description: Leucine operon leader
Rfam family: Leucine operon leader
About the family: At least 6 amino acid operons are known to be regulated by attenuation. In each a leader sequence of 150-200 bp is found upstream of the first gene in the operon.
Source: RNAcentral